AGGACUGUACUUUCAAGGAUCAUUUCUAUAGUUUAUUACUAAAGAAGUUUCUCUGAACAUAUAAAGCAAAACAUUUUUUAAGAAGAAAAAA
This 91-nucleotide small nucleolar RNA is filed under the name Gorilla gorilla gorilla (western lowland gorilla). RNAcentral's name for it is "Small nucleolar RNA U3". It matches the Rfam family "Small nucleolar RNA U3", at positions 1 to 93 of the family's 219-position model. From Rfam's summary of the family: Small nucleolar RNAs (snoRNAs) are involved in the processing and modification of rRNA in the nucleolus. Lineage: Eukaryota; Metazoa; Chordata; Mammalia; Primates; Hominidae. The record is from Rfam by way of RNAcentral.